GAUGAAGAACGUAGUGAAAUGCGAUACGUAAUGUGAAUUGCAGAAUUCAGUGAAUCAUCGAAUCUUUGAACGCAUAUUGCGCUCUUUGGUAUUCCGAAGAGCAUGCUUGUUUGAGUAUCAGUAAACACCUCAAAGACUUCAAUUUGUUUUGAAUGGCUUUGGACUUGAGCAAUCCCAACACCAGUCUUUACGAUCGGUGGAGGGUUGCUUGAAAUGCAGGUGCAGCUGGACAUUCUCCUGAGCUAAAAGCAUAUUUAUUUAGUCCCGUCAAACGGAUUAUUACUUUUGCUGCAGCUAACAUAAAGGGAGUUUGACCGUAUUGGCUGACUGAUGCAGGAUUUCACAAGGGUCGGCAACGAUUCUUGUAAAUCUCGAUCUCAAAUCAAGUAAGACUACCCGCUGAACUUAAGCAUAUCAAUAAGCGGAGGA
Molecule: unclassified non-coding RNA, 429 nt
Filed under: soil metagenome
Description: partial contains 5.8S ribosomal RNA, internal transcribed spacer 2, and large subunit ribosomal RNA
Rfam family: 5.8S ribosomal RNA (bases 1-120)
Source: RNAcentral